AGUGAACGCUGGCGGUAGGCCUAACACAUGCCAGUCGAACGGCAGCACAGUAAGAGCUUGCUCUUACGGGUGGCGAGUGGCGGACGGGUGAGGAAUACAUCGGAAUCUACUUUUUCGUGGGUGAUAACGUAGGGCAACUUACGCUAAUACCGCAUACGACCUACGGGUGAAAGCAGGGGAUCUUCGGACCUUUCGCGAUUGAAUGAGCCGAUGUCGGAUUAGCUAGUUGGCGGGGUAAAGGCCCACCAAGGCGACGAUGCGUAGCUGGUCUGAGAGGAUGAUCAGCCACACUGGAACUGAGACACGGUCCAGACUCCUACGGGAGGCAGCAGUGGGGAAUAUUGGACAAUGGGCGAAAGCCUGAUCCAGCCAUACCGCGUGGGUGAAGAAGGCCUUCGGGUUGUAAAGCCCUUUUGUUGGGAAAGAAAAGCAGCAGGUUAAUACCCCGCUGUUCUGACGGUACCCAAAGAAUAAGCACCGGCUAACUUCGUG
Molecule: ribosomal RNA, 492 nt
Filed under: uncultured bacterium
Lineage: Bacteria
Description: partial 16S ribosomal RNA
Rfam family: Bacterial small subunit ribosomal RNA
Source: RNAcentral